CCUACGGGAGGCAGCAGUGGGGAAUAUUGGGCAAUGGGCGCAAGCCUGACCCAGCAACGCCGCGUGAAGGAAGAAGGCCUUCGGGUUGUAAACCUCUGUUAAGGGGGAAGAGCAGAAGACGGUACACCUGGAAUAAGCCACGGCUAACUACGUGCAAGCAGCCGCGGUAAUACGUAGGUGGCAAGCGUUGUCCGGAGUUACUGGGUGUAAAGGGCGUGCAGCCGGAGAGACAAGUCAGAUGUGAAAUCCACGGGCUCAACCCGGGAACUGCAUUUGAAACUGUUUCCCUUGAGUGUCGGAGAGGUAAUCGGAAUUCCUUGUGUAGCGGUGAAAUGCGUAGAUAUAAGGAAGAACACCAGUGGCGAAGGCGGAUUACUGGACGAUAACUGACGGUGAGGCGCGAAAGCGUGGGGAGCAAACAGGAUUAGAUACCCGAGUAGUC
This 442-nucleotide ribosomal RNA is filed under the name uncultured bacterium. RNAcentral's name for it is "partial 16S ribosomal RNA". It matches the Rfam family "Bacterial small subunit ribosomal RNA", at positions 338 to 795 of the family's 1533-position model. The record is from RNAcentral.